GACGAACGCUGGCGGCGUGCUUAACACAUGCAAGUCGAACGGAAAGGCCCUGCUUUUGUGGGGUGCUCGAGUGGCGAACGGGUGAGUAACACGUGAGUAACCUGCCCUUGACUUUGGGAUAACUUCAGGAAACUGGGGCUAAUACCGGAUAGGAGCUCCUGCUGCAUGGUGGGGGUUGGAAAGUUUCGGCGGUUGGGGAUGGACUCGCGGCUUAUCAGCUUGUUGGUGGGGUAGUGGCUUACCAAGGCUUUGACGGGUAGCCGGCCUGAGAGGGUGACCGGCCACAAUGGGACUGAGAUACGGCGCAGACUCCUACGGGAGGCAGCAGUGGGGAAUAUUGCACAAUGGGCGGGAGCCUGAUGCAGCAGCGCCGCGUGCGGGAUGACGGCCUUCGGGUUGUAAACCGCUUUCGCCUGUGACGAAGCGUGAGUGACGGUAAUGGAUAAAGAAGCACCGGCUAACUACGUG
RNAcentral lists this ribosomal RNA (468 nucleotides) under uncultured bacterium. RNAcentral describes it as "partial 16S ribosomal RNA". It matches the Rfam family "Bacterial small subunit ribosomal RNA", at positions 28 to 507 of the family's 1533-position model. The record is from RNAcentral.